GAAUGCCGGCAAGUGGAGCGUAGCAGUGAGACGGCGGGGGAUAAGCUUCGUCGUCGAGAGGGAAACAGCCCAGAUCAUCAGCUAAGGCCCCUAAGUGGUGACUCAGUGGGAAAGGAUGUGGAGUUGCGUAGACAACCAGGAGGUUGGCUUGGAAGCAGCCAUCCUUGAAAGAGUGCGUAAUAGCUCACUGGUCAAGUGAUUCCGCGCCGAUAAUGUAGCGGGGCUUAAGUUAUCCGCCGAAGCUGUGGCAACCUGUGUGGUUGGGUAGGGGAGCGUCGUGUCAGUGGUGAAGCUGCCGGGUGACUGUGUGGUGGAGUUGAUGCGAGUGAGAAUGCAGGCAUGAGUAGCGUGUGACGGGUGGGAAUCCCGUCCGCCGAUUAUCCAAGGGUUCCAGGGUCAAGUUUGUCUGCCCUGGGUGAGUCGGGUCCUAAGGCGAGGCCGACAGGCGUAGUCGAUGGGUAACCAGUUGAUAUUCUGGUACCGGCUUGUCACCGUCCGUGUCGAGGUGUGUGAUGCUAAGCAUGUGAGCUUGUCUUGGGAGUGUUUUUGAUGCUUCUGGGGUGGGUGAGUGUGUGAACCGAUCAUGUAGUAGGCAAGCUGCGGAGGGACGCAGUGAGGUAGCUCAUCCCCGGUGAUGGUUGUCCGGGGCUAAGUGUGUGGACUGUCUGGUAGGUAAAUCCGCUGGGCGUGAAGGUUGAGGCAUGAUGGGGAGCCCAUGGUUGUGGGUGAGUGAGUGAUCCUGUACUGUCGAGAAAAGCUUCGUGAGCGAGGUGGCGGGUCCGCCCGUACCCUAAACCGACACUGGUGGAUAGGUAGAGUAUACCGAGGCGAUCGAGUGAAUCGUGGUGAAGGAACUCGGCAAAAUGCCCCCGUAACUUUGGGAUAAGGGGGACCUGAGCUGUCGUGCACCCGUGCGGUGUGGUGGCGGUGAGGGGCGCAGAGUCCAGGGGGAAACGACUGUUUACCAAAAACACAGGUCCGUGCGAAGUCGUAAGACGAUGUAUACGGACUGACUCCUGCCCGGUGCUGGAAGGUUAAGGGG
This 1042-nucleotide ribosomal RNA is filed under the name Finegoldia magna. RNAcentral's name for it is "partial 23S ribosomal RNA". It matches the Rfam family "Bacterial large subunit ribosomal RNA", at positions 958 to 1884 of the family's 2925-position model. Lineage: Bacteria; Bacillati; Bacillota; Tissierellia; Tissierellales; Peptoniphilaceae. The record is from RNAcentral.